UGAGGAAUAUUGGUCAAUGGGCGGAAGCCUGAACCAGCCAUCCCGCGUGAAGGAAGGCGGCCCUAUGGGUUGUAAACUUCUUUAGUACAUGAAGAACAGGAUCUACGCGUAGGUUUAUGACGGUAAUGUACAAAAAAGCAUCGGCUAACUCCGUGCCAGCAGCCGCGGUAAUACGGAGGAUGCGAGCGUUAUCCGGAUUCAUUGGGUUUAAAGGGUACGUAGGUGGCCCUGUAAGUCAGUGGUGAAAAUCUGCCGCUUAACGGUAGGGGUGCCAAUGAUACUGCGGGGCUUGAGUACAGUUGAGGUAGGUGGAAUGUGUAGUGUAGCGGUGAAAUGCAUAGAUAUUACACAGAACUCCGAUUGCGAAGGCAUCUUACUAAGCUGAAACUGACACUGAUGUACGAAAGCGUGGGGAUCGAACAG
Molecule: ribosomal RNA, 423 nt
Filed under: uncultured bacterium
Lineage: Bacteria
Description: bacterial SSU rRNA
Rfam family: Bacterial small subunit ribosomal RNA
Source: RNAcentral